UAUUGGUCAAUGGGCGGGAGCCUGAACCAGCCAAGUCGCGUGAGGGAGUAAGGCCCUACGGGUCGUAAACCUCUUUUGCCGGGGAACAGGUCGGCGGACGUGUCCUCCGUUUGAGCGCACCCGGCGACACAGCAUCGGCUAACUCCGCGCCAGCAGCCGCGGUAAUACGGAGGAUGCGAGCGUUAUCCGGAUUUAUUGGGUUUAAAGGGUGCGUAGGCGGGCUUUUAAGUCAGCGGUAAAAAUUCGGGGCUCAACCCCGUCCGGCCGUUGAAACUGGGGGCCUUGAGUGGGCGAGAAGAAGGCGGAAUGCGUGGUGUAGCGGUGAAAUGCAUAGAUAUCACGCAGAACCCCGAUUGCGAAGGCAGCCUUCCGGCGCCCUACUGACGCUGAGGCACGAAAGUGCGGGGAUCGAACAGG
Molecule: ribosomal RNA, 417 nt
Filed under: uncultured bacterium
Lineage: Bacteria
Description: bacterial SSU rRNA
Rfam family: Bacterial small subunit ribosomal RNA
Source: RNAcentral